GGCUGAGUCUCAAACUCCUGGACUCAAGUAAUCCUCCCACCUUGGCCUCCCAAAUUGCUGAGAUUACACGUAUAAGCCACUGCACCUGGCUGGUUGUUGCUUUCUGCAUCUAAGAAAUAUUUGUCCACUUUCGUCACUGUGGAUAUUCUGGUAUGUUUCUCUCUCAAAGCUUUAUGGUUUUAGCUAUUGUAUGUAGGUCUAUGAAUUUCUCUAUGGUAUGAGAUAGGAGUUGUGGGUCUUUUUUUUUUUUUUUUUUUGCAUAGGAAUAUCCAAUUAUCCUAACACCACUUGCUGAAAAAAUUUCACGUUAGCCACUGAUCAUAUAAAUGUGAUGUUUCUUGGAUUUCUAUUCUGUCCCAUGGUUGUACUUGUUAUCAUCAUGCCAGCACCACACUGUCUUGAUUAUUUUAAGUUUUGAAGCCAAACAGGGCAUAUCUUCCAACUUUUUAUUUUUUAAGUUUGCUUUGCUUAUUCAAGGUCCUUCUCAUUUUCAUAUUUAAUUUAGAAACAGUCUGUUGAUUUCUACAGAAAAAAAAGUCCACUGAGAUUUUGAUUGGGAUUGCAUUGAAUUGAAAAAACCAAUUUGGGUAGAAGUGAAUGUUAGCACUGAGCCUUCCAGUAUGUGAACAUGAUAUGUCUCACUGUUUAUUCAAGUGUUCAUUAAAUUUUUCAGCAAUGUUUUAUGGUUUUUACUGUAAAGUUCUGGUCAUCUUUUAUUAAAUUUUUUCCUAAGUAAUUUUAAUUUUUUAAUUUUCUACUGUAAAUGGGACUGGGCUUUUGGUUUCAUUUUCCAAUUGCUGGUUGCCAGUACAUAAAAUACAACUCACUUUUGUAUAUUGAGCUAUGUCCAAUGACAUUGGUAAGUCAAAUCCACUUAUUAGUGCUAAUAAUUGUUUGUAUAUUUCUUAGAAUUUUCUAUAUAAAAUCAUGUCACCUACAAACAGAAGCAAAUGUAUGUCUUACUUUUUUUUCUUUAAACCUCUUUCUCCUCUGUCUAUUGCAAUGAUGAGGACCACCAAUACAAUGCUGAACAAAAGAGCUUGAAGACAGCCUAUUGUGGGACCUUGCGAUUGUAUGUCAUCUUCUACUUUGCUCUCUGCCAAAUGCCAGUCCCGUGAUACAGAGAAGGAAAUGUGGGCAGGAGCCACUUGCCCUGGCCCUGCAUGAUUGCAGUCAUCUAGGCCCCAGCCAAGGGAGCAACAGGUCAAGGGCAGAAGCUUCAGAAACUAAAGUGGUUUGGCAUGGCCCAAAAGUGGCCUGUGACUGAGGGAGAAGAGAGGAAAUGAUGAGAGGAGCUCAUUGUUGAGGUGAGUGUGGAGAGCUGUAGAGGUUAAAGUUUAAAUCCUGAGGGAGGUGGGAAGCUGCUCCUGGGAAUGACAGUGUCAGGUGUGCUGUUUCAGAAAGAUCACAUUGGCAGUAGGGUAAGGGCGUUCCAUAGGAGGCAGGGUAGGCAAGAAUUCCAGUUUGGAACUGCCCAGAUGGGAAAGGAUUGCAGGGGGCCUCACUGGGACAGCAGCGAGAGAUGAAUCUGAGAACAUUUAGGUGUGACAGGAGGCAAGGUCAGAUGAUCAACCAGAUGUUGGGGGUUGAGGAGUGGAAAGAACCAAGGGUGACUCUCGGUUUCUAACCUGGGUAUCUGGUUGGAUAAUGGAACCCUGGAUUAGGUAGAUAACCCUGGGUGGGAGCAGUGCUGGGAACAGAGAUGAUGAACUUGGCCUUAGAGCCCUGCAGACUUUGAUGUACAGAUGCAGGCCCUAAAGUGGGGAUAUCCAACAGUUACUUGGCUCUACUAGUGUACAGGCUUGGAGUGAGACCCCCAGAAGAAUAGCCCUAUCCUGUGGUUUCUCCUCCAGGACCAAAUCCUCCUGCCUCUUGUACCCUCAUGGAAUGGCUGGGAUUAUGUCAUGAAUUAACACAUCUAUUUCCCAAAGCUACAGUGUGGCCUCGCCCUUCCUGUGCCAGGCUGCACACGUGAGCAGUCAUGCUACGUAUCUUAGUGGAGGCAGGAACACUAGACUUUCCCCACUGUUCCUGCCCAUUAAACGUGGCAUGUAAACAACAACUCACCUUUAUCCUCUCCUUGGAGAGAAAAUAGGCAGUGGCAUGAAGCACAUCAGCAGAAUGUGUAGAAUUGUGGUAGGGAUUGGAAGAAUGAUAAUUGGCUUCGAUAAUUUGUAACCAUGAUCUUAGUGUUGACUCAGAGCAGUGUAAGAAUUCACAGAUUCCAAAGCGAGCAAACAUUUUGAGACCAAGAUAAAUCAAAGGCCUAUAGAAAGAAAAAACCCCACAAUAUUAGAACAAAAGCAAACAAAUAGGCCAAGUGUUUGAGGCCUGAAUAGGUUCCAAGCCAAAUUUCAGGGAGUGCAGGGCAGCAGAGUGGAGAUUGCUUGGGCUGUGCUGGCCUCUCUCUGGUGGAGCAAACAAACUUUGGUUCCACUUCUUGCCCUCAGGAGACCAUGAUGCACAGGUAAGAACUGGCUGUCCAUAGCAGCUCUGGCCUCAGCCUCGUUGGGGCUCCUGAUUUGCUGGGGGGAGUUUGCUCAUUCUGUCCUUCCAGGUUCAGCUUCCUACUUGCACUACUGAAUUUGUCACAACAAUCCUUUUUCCAGGUUAAGCUUGUACCACCUUGAACACCAUCCUCUCCUUUGGACUUGCUGGACCAAUGCCAUUGGCCAGACACCCUGCCUAUAAGAAAACAUUUCCUGAAAAUGUCCUAUGAGCCAGAUACUGCCGUAUGCCAUGGAAUUUUCUCAACACCUUUCUGGAGGUCCCUGUUUCUUCUCACUGGAAAUGAUCCUUGGGGAGAACAAGGAGUAUGUGUGCUCAAUGGAGACAGACCACAAACUGCUUCACCUUGGUGAUGGGCGCCUCAAUCGUCAUGGAAUGUAUCCGGGCCAUAGAAGAGUGUCGUCUCUGGCUGGAAACUGUGGAGAAAGGGAUGCACAAAUCAGGGUGUGCACAGCCCUGGGCACCUGUCUUGACAGCAGAGGGCUCAGUGUGCUCGGCUGCAUGAUGAAGGGGCAGGAUAGAACUGAGUUUACUGAGCUUCGUUCCCAUCCUAACAAUCCUGGGGUUCUGGCAUAACCAAUUCUGUUUCCUUCAGUUCUAGGCACUAGGAUGCACAUAUGACCCCAUGGACUGAACCUCUGACGUCACAGGCCAGAGAGAAAACAGAGGAAACAAUCUAGCAAGCCAAAGUCAAACAGCCUCUUUUUGUGUCUAUGACAAUAAGCCUUUAUAAUUAUUUAGCUUGCCAUUCUCUAGGAGUAAAAAUGUUCUGGAAGACAAUGCCACACAAUGCUCUUUGUUUCAUAUAUGGCAGGAGCAAUACAUUCAAUUCACCAACAACUAAAAUACACAAAUUUCUGGUUAAAUUUUUCAAGGUACCCUUUGGUGCUUCCCACUAUUAGGUUUAAUCUAGACUGAUUAGGUAAAUAUCUUAAAUGAGGCAGGCAGCAAUUCUUAGGCUGUAAAGUUUGUUAAUUUUUGUUGUUCCUGUCAAGAUAUGGUUCCUUUGUGAUGAGGAGAAGCCCAGACAAUAUAGGCAGGAAAAACAUUAACGUCCAGUCCUGGGUAUCUCCACGAACAAUCCCAUCAGGCUAAAUGCUGCUUUCCAAAGACGUUACAGGACCGGGGGCUGUCCCAGAGACUGAUGUAUCAACCUCAUUUUACCAAUGAAGAAACUGAGGCCCAAGGAGAGACACCGUCCAAGGUUAACCAAUUCACAAGGUCUCAAAUGUUUUAAAUUUGGGGGCCCAACUAAACUUCUUAAAAUUUUGGUGAUUAUAGGAUUGCCAACCUUCCAUUUUAUCCAACAAUGUCAUUAAAACAAAAAUAAAAACUGCUAUUUUCUCACUGUCAUAAAA
Macaca mulatta (Rhesus monkey) is the source of this 3866-nucleotide non-coding RNA. Lineage: Eukaryota; Metazoa; Chordata; Mammalia; Primates; Cercopithecidae. The record is from RefSeq and is a predicted model, not a curated record.